CUACUAUUUUGUGUAAUACCAUCAUAUCGGCUGCUGUUAACUAUCAGUACCUGAAUUUUGGAGGGAACACAUUCAAACUAUAGCAUUUAUUUAGGCUAAAAAGAUAGUUCAUUGUCAGUGUAUGAAAAACCUACUGAUUUUUUACGUUGAUUUUAUAUACUGCAACUUUAUUGAAUUCUCAACAAAUGGUGUUGAAAAAACUGGAUGUCCUCAUGAAGAAGAAUGAAAUUGAACACAUCACAUCCCAUAUACAAGAAUCAACUCAAAGCACUGAUGCUCUCAGUUGAUCUAGCAAAUAGGCAUCUGUCACAGAAAAUAGAGAAGAUAUCCCAAGAGAAGAGGAGAAACUCCACAAUGUGAAGAGAUUUCCAGAGGCAUCAGCACUCCGUCUGUCACUAUUGGCAUCCUGUGACAUGGUUUAGUUUAUGCGUGCUGAUUCUGUUUCAGAAGUGAAAUGAAGAAAAAUACUUUUCAGAGAGCC
Molecule: long non-coding RNA, 481 nt
Filed under: Homo sapiens (human)
Lineage: Eukaryota; Metazoa; Chordata; Mammalia; Primates; Hominidae
Description: HSALNT0349801
Source: RNAcentral